Molecule: ribosomal RNA, 492 nt
Filed under: uncultured bacterium
Lineage: Bacteria
Description: partial 16S ribosomal RNA
Rfam family: Bacterial small subunit ribosomal RNA
Source: RNAcentral
AGUGAACGCUGGCGGUAGGCCUAACACAUGCAAGUCGAACGGCAGCACAGUAAGAGCUUGCUCUUACGGGUGGCGAAUGGCGGACGGGUGAGGAAUACAUCGGAAUCUACUUUUUCGUGGGGGAUAACGUAGGGAAACUUACGCUAAUACCGCAUACGACCUACGGGUGAAAGCAGGGGAUCUUCGGACCUUGCGCGAUUGAAUGAGCCGAUGUCGGAUUAGCUAGUUGGCGGGGUAAAGGCCCACCAAGGCGACGAUCCGUAGCUGGUCUGAGAGGAUGAUCAGCCACACUGGAACUGAGACACGGUCCAGACUCCUACGGGAGGCGGCAGUGGGGAAUAUUGGACAAUGGGCGCAAGCCUGAUCCAGCCAUACCGCGUGGGUGAAGAAGGCCUUCGGGUUGUAAAGCCCUUUUGUUGGGAAAGAAAAGCAGCAGGUUAAUACCCCGCUGUUCUGACGGUACCCAAAGAAUAAGCACCGGCUAACUUCGUG